GGGCCGUAGCUCAGUUGGUAGAGCGCUUGAAUGGCAUUCAAGAGGUCAGGGGUUCGAUUCCCCUCGGCUCC
Molecule: transfer RNA, 71 nt
Filed under: uncultured Paracoccus sp.
Lineage: Bacteria; Pseudomonadati; Pseudomonadota; Alphaproteobacteria; Rhodobacterales; Paracoccaceae
Rfam family: tRNA
About the family: Transfer RNA (tRNA) molecules are approximately 80 nucleotides in length.
Source: RNAcentral